RNAcentral lists this ribosomal RNA (253 nucleotides) under uncultured bacterium. RNAcentral's name for it is "partial 16S ribosomal RNA". It matches the Rfam family "Bacterial small subunit ribosomal RNA", at positions 524 to 776 of the family's 1533-position model. The record is from RNAcentral.
UACGGAGGGUGCAAGCGUUAUCCGGAUUCACUGGGUUUAAAGGGUGCGUAGGCGGGCUGUCAAGUCUGGGGUGAAAUCCCACGGCUCAACCGUGGAACUGCCUUAGAUACUGACGGCCUCGAGGGAGAUAGGGGCGAGCGGAACUGUGAGUGGAGCGGUGAAAUGCGUUGAUAUUCACAGGAACUCCGGUGGCGAAGGCGGCUCGCUGGAUCUUUUCUGACGCUGAGGCGCGAAAGCUAGGGGAGCAAACGGG